GUGGACUGUGAGGUCUUGGUGUACAUCUUGAGAGGAGCUUUGGCAUUCACCUCCCUCCUGGUUGUUUUACUGGCCUGCACAGUGAUCAAGAUGAAGAAGAGAAACCGUUUAAGACUCCAAGGUGGGGUAGUCAAAUUUUAUUCUUGUAACCACUGAUGAUGGAUUUUCAUAAAAAAAAGGAUUUGUCUGUUUCUCUUUCAGAUUCUCAAGCAAGAUUUUCAGCUUCCUCCGCGGAAAAUGAUGUGAGUUCCCAAGAGGCAGACAACCUCCAUUAUGCGACUGUAUGUUUUAACCAGCCCAACCAAUCAGGACGACAGAGGAAUAACACCGUCGAUGAGUGCGUCUACUCCACUGUGACGCCAUAGAACCAGACAUGUUUCACUUCCACUUUUUUAAGUAAGACUGUACUUGUUACCUUUAAAGUAAAUUUAAAAUGUAGAUCUCGAGGUGAACCUUUUAUGUUUUUCUUCCCAUUGGUCUGUUAUCACUGAGAUGAUAAGAUUAGUCAAGGUUUAGCAAAGCACAUGGACAGCCCUGUACUCUCUAGUGCUAUUGUUGUUACCUUAGAACAAAGUCUCCAUCUAAUCAAACCAGUAAAUUAUUUUAAGGUCAGAUUAUUUGAUGCUGCCCAAGCGACAUCGACUGUUUUGUUUUGCCAACAGUGGCUUUUUCAACACCCUUGUGUAGGUUUUUGUUUGCACAUUUUUGGUUAUUAAAGGUCACACACGUAUGAACUUCUGUCUGAAACCAUGUGAAACCCUUACACAUGCGUAGUAUAUUGUGAGCGUAACCUGGGAAAAAGUUGGGUAAGAAAUGGCAUCCUCCACGUUGAUUUACAUAGGGGCCUGGUGUUUUUAGAGCAAAACAACUGUCUAAAGAUGGCCGCUGAGUGCCAAGACUCCUCUAAAAGGACUUUGGUUUUGAGUGUGAUGGUGACACAUUCUAGGGAGGAAAUAGAUGCGCUCAAGCCUUUUUUGUUAGACCUGGGGGAAACUGUGCGCUUUGUUGAGUUACGUAGGUAGUUUAUGUGAAACUACACUUCCUGUGUGUUGUGCCCACUGUACAGAGGCGGAUGCCGACGUGCUACACAUGCAGCAAGUGUUGACCAGAUGUUACAUGGCCAAAACUUUUAUGAUGUACUAAAGCUGUUAUGCAUGAUAAAAGGUGUUGUCCCUCUUUUGGUAAUCAACAUAGAAAUAAAGCAAUGAAGCAUGCAGUACUCUUAUCGUGAUUACCUUUAAGUCCCCAUGCUUUUUGUAGUGUCUUCUCUUUUCGAGCAGCCCCUUUUUGUGGUUUUCAGCAGGACGCAAGGGCGCCUCUCGCACGGAUAUCCCUUAAAGCACACAGUAAGGUUCAAAGGCAACAGGUCAAAUUCGUACAAUUAUGUCGACCCUGGGAGACCAAAUGUGUACAACUUCAAAGUUACAUAAAGGUCAUUUUAAUUGAUUUUAACCCUCUAAGACCCACUGUUGUAAUAUUACAACGUUACCUUUAGCCACCCUAAAAAACAAUCUGUUACAUUUUAUCUUGUUUUUUACCACAUUUACAUAGUCAUUGGGUCCUAUUGUUUAGUCUCACGAUGCUAUUGGAUAGUACAUUUGUUUUUAAGUCCAGCCUCAUGGCCAUGAACUCACACAACCUCUCAUGGUUUCCUUCGGACAACAUUGCUUUGUUUCAUUGGACUAAAUUCAUCAGAAUCAAGUAAGUAAAAUGUCUUUUAUAUUUUUUUUUGUUGUUAUUACAAUGUCUAGAACAUGUACAUAUGUAGUUUUUGUAGAAUAGAUUCAUCAAGUUUCAUUUAGAGCUUGUUAUAUAAUUGUUGUAAUAUUACAACGUUGGGUGAGUGUGGUAGUCAAAAUAGCAGGCUUGUUGCAGUGGGAACAAACAGGUUGUAUUCCCUCCACUACACCACUGCCUGAAACAGUGUGUUUUUUUAUACAUGGAAAGUAUACAUACUACCCUUGGGUUCAAUUUUGACUGAUUUAAAAGUUUAUCUCCAAAAAAAUGUAGUUAAUUUGAUCAGACUGACCUAAAAUUCCACAACUUUGUCCACAAAGUGGAUAUCAACAGACAUUCAGUUCUGAGAAAGGUGAACAUUUUCCUGAAUGUGGAUGUGUGGAUGUAAGUUGGGGUAUGCAUGUUUUCCUUUUAGUAUGAUAAUUAGAGGGCAUCACAAGCAGUAUUGUCAUGUCAAGGCAGUAUUGUGUGACUUAAUGGCUGGUGAUUGGGAUGCACAUUUCUUUUAGCAUGAUAAGUAGAGAGCAUAGGCUAAGCCAUCAACAUUUACAUUUAGGGCAUUUAGCAGAUGCUUUUGUCCAAAGCGACUUACAAUAAGCAGACAGUAUUGUCUGCCUGGAAAACAUUGGGGAAUUCAUUACAUGGGAACAGCCAGGCAGGUGCGCCUGCCCAACUGUGACCUUGAGGACGAGAAGAGCUUGAAGAAAAAGGAGAGAGAAAGCGAUGACGUCAGAGUGGAGGGGAAUCUCAACAUCUGUGCUGUCAAAUGGUGUGACA
Molecule: long non-coding RNA, 2514 nt
Organism: Sparus aurata (gilthead seabream)
Lineage: Eukaryota; Metazoa; Chordata; Actinopteri; Spariformes; Sparidae
Source: Ensembl